Long non-coding RNA from Etheostoma cragini (Arkansas darter), 1334 nucleotides. RefSeq lists it as uncharacterized. The transcript has 2 exons. The record is from RefSeq and is a predicted model, not a curated record. Lineage: Eukaryota; Metazoa; Chordata; Actinopteri; Perciformes; Percidae.
UAAUAUAAUAUAACAUAACAUAAGCCUCAAUUUCAGUCUGAUUAAAUUGUAUUUUCAAACUCGAAACAAAAAGGGCAAAGUGUUUACAACGAUGAGAUUUUAUUGAGUAAAUAUUACUGAAGAGUAUAGAUUUUUGAACUCUAUUUAAGAGAUACAAUUCUAAGAUGUAUUAAAUGAAAGCUAUAUUUUUCUUUGCAAUUUGGUUGGAUAUUCCCUGUGUCCUCGGUCACAGGUGAGUUCUCCUGGCAGAACUUAGUAAGCAGUGCGACAGCUUCAAGAUGCAUUUAAAGAAGGAACUUCGACAUAUUUUUUUUUUUUUUUUUUUUAAAUACUUCUAUGUACAGUAAUUGCAUGUUUUAUUUUACAUUUUCUACUGACUUGUAAUGGCGCUUUAACUGUACUUUAAACCUUGUUGUGAAAAAGGGCAUGCGAACUGUGGAACAAUUAUGCCCUAAAUAUCUGUUUGCAUCUGGCUUUCUGUCCUCGUGUCACAGCAGUACAGUGACCCCCCCGCCCGCCUCCUCUGUGUCUGAGAUUCAGAGAGUAGACCGUAAUCAUGUGGACAUCGGACAUCAUGUAACAUUGCACUUAUCCACUUUUGCACUAAUUGGUUGACAGUGUGUAGACUUGAUAGUUUUUACACCAGUAAGUAUGAUUUUUUUGUUAUCUUUUAUUUACCUGAAAACCCAAAGAAGAUGAAUGAAGCCAUUACUAAGAAAAGUGCGACUUUAUGUGACUAAAUAUUAGUUACACAAAUUUCAAAACACCAGCAACAGGCGUUUACUUUUGAUAUGAUUUGAGAAAAUUGAAAUUUAUUCUUCAAUUUGAUUAUAUGGUCCUAUGGUAAUAUGGUUUUGUAAAGAGCUCAUAUUUGCAGUUGAUUAUAAGGUUUUCUUUUUGUCUAUUCCUUCCUCUAUCCCUGCUGCUUUCCUGCUGUCUGAAUACCUGCCUUCUGCUGCCUUACUUUGUUGUUUUUUGACUUUUCAUAUUCCAGCAGUAAACUGUAUCAGUAAUCCUCUCCCUUUAGCUUUAGCUCUGUUUGAUACUAACUGCCCAUUGUCACUUCCUGUGUCCUCUGUUUCCUUUUUUUUUUUUUUUUUUUUGGUGACUUACUUUUGUAGUUGCAUAUAAAUGUACAGUUCUGUUAUUUAAAAGAAUGUUUUGUCCACUAGUGUUACUACUUUUUGUAAUGUCAUUUGAGUUUGUUUCCGCUCCAAGAUAUAAAAGGGUCUUGGUUUGUAACCCAUGUUAUAGUGCUUAUCUUCCUGAUUUAAUAUAAACAAUAAAACUCUAUACUGUGUGAUGCCUUGUGUGGUUCUGUUGUUCUAAAAUAU